AAACUAUUUUAAUUUGGCGGCAUUUCAUCUUAUUAGAGGAAUUUGUCACAUAAUCGAUAUUCCACGAUAAAUUUCACUUUUAUUUUCAAUUUAUAUACCGCCAUCUUAAGAAUUAGUUUUAAAAUAUNAUUCUCAAUAAAAUAUAAUAUGUUAGGUCAAGGUGUAGUUAAUAUAACAGCAUUAGAUGAAUUACUUUAAAUAUUAUUCAAGGAUUAUUAAUUAAAAAUCAAUAUCAAAAAGGAUUUAAAAGUAAUAUCAUAAUAUUAUUAUAAUAUGAUUAAGAUAAUAAAUGUGCACACAUCGCCC
RNAcentral lists this ribosomal RNA (306 nucleotides) under Tegenaria parietina. RNAcentral's name for it is "partial 12S ribosomal RNA". Lineage: Eukaryota; Metazoa; Arthropoda; Arachnida; Araneae; Agelenidae. The record is from RNAcentral.